GUGGGUUGACUUGGAAGGACAAAAAAAAAUCAAAAGAUGGCAGAAAGUUAGAUAUUAGAGCUAGGAGACAUCAAAAUAGGACUUUUAUCAUCGUCAACGAGCUUGUGCUUGUGGCCUACAGAUGAAUUAUCCGUGUCAUCGUCAAGAUCUAGCUGCUGGAUACCCGUCUGCUACUGCUCAUAUCUGCUUGUCCUCCUGCACCCACUGAAGUGUCGUCCACGACUCGACCAUUGCUCACUCUCUUACUGCACAUCCAUGAGAUUUUACAAACUUCAUAUUGACUUGACACUAAUCAAAAGCAGUACGAAAACAUCACUCAAACAC
This 324-nucleotide long non-coding RNA is filed under the name Brassica napus (rape). RNAcentral's name for it is "long non-coding RNA (BNAP_LNC014564)". The record is from RNAcentral. Lineage: Eukaryota; Viridiplantae; Streptophyta; Magnoliopsida; Brassicales; Brassicaceae.